RNAcentral lists this ribosomal RNA (203 nucleotides) under Staphylococcus agnetis. Its description in RNAcentral is "partial 16S ribosomal RNA". It matches the Rfam family "Bacterial small subunit ribosomal RNA", at positions 1338 to 1533 of the family's 1533-position model. The record is from RNAcentral. Lineage: Bacteria; Bacillati; Bacillota; Bacilli; Caryophanales; Staphylococcaceae.
GUAAUCGUAGAUCAGCAUGCUACGGUGAAUACGUUCCCGGGUCUUGUACACACCGCCCGUCACACCACGAGAGUUUGUAACACCCGAAGCCGGUGGAGUAACCAUUUGGAGCUAGCCGUCGAAGGUGGGACAAAUGAUUGGGGUGAAGUCGUAACAAGGUAGCCGUAUCGGAAGGUGCGGCUGGAUCACCUCCUUUCUAAGGA